Molecule: ribosomal RNA, 489 nt
Filed under: Salmonella enterica subsp. enterica serovar Enteritidis
Lineage: Bacteria; Pseudomonadati; Pseudomonadota; Gammaproteobacteria; Enterobacterales; Enterobacteriaceae
Description: partial 23S ribosomal RNA
Rfam family: Bacterial large subunit ribosomal RNA
Source: RNAcentral
CCCUGGCAGUCAGAGGCGAUGAAGGGCGUACUAAUCUGCGAUAAGCGCCGGUAAGGUGAUAUGAACCGUUAUAACCGGCGAUACCCGAAUGGGGAAACCCAGUGUGACUCGUCACACUAUCAUUAACUGAAUCCAUAGGUUAAUGAGGCGAACCGGGGGAACUGAAACAUCUAAGUACCCCGAGGAAAAGAAAUCAACCGAGAUUCCCCCAGUAGCGGCGAGCGAACGGGGAGGAGCCCAGAGCCUGAAUCAGCAUGUGUGUUAGUGGAAGCGUCUGGAAAGGCGCGCGAUACAGGGUGACAGCCCCGUACACAAAAGCGCAUGUGCUGUGAGCUCGAUGAGUAGGGCGGGACACGUGGUAUCCUGUCUGAAUAUGGGGGGACCAUCCUCCAAGGCUAAAUACUCCUGACUGACCGAUAGUGAACCAGUACCGUGAGGGAAAGGCGAAAAGAACCCCGGCGAGGGGAGUGAAAAAGAACCUGAAACCGU